Molecule: non-coding RNA, 120 nt
Organism: Acanthosepion pharaonis
Lineage: Eukaryota; Metazoa; Mollusca; Cephalopoda; Sepiida; Sepiidae
Source: the annotation of a GenBank genome assembly
ACGGCUAUAUCACGUUAAAAAAACAGUUUUCGGACUUGACGUACGAUCACCGAAGUUAAGCAACGUCGAGCCUGGUCAAUACCUGGAUGGGUGACCGCUUGGGAAUACUAAGUGCUGUAU